This 16-nucleotide small RNA is filed under the name Arabidopsis thaliana (thale cress). RNAcentral's name for it is "ATSL184790". The record is from RNAcentral. Lineage: Eukaryota; Viridiplantae; Streptophyta; Magnoliopsida; Brassicales; Brassicaceae.
AUUUGAGAAGAGGGUU